AAAAAAAAAAAAAUGACAAUCUUAGAAAAACUAGAAAUAAAGGAGUCCAAAAAGCAGUAAAAGUUGUGAGAGAUAAUGAGAGAAGAUAAAAAAUAAGACAUGAGUGUUAAAAUGGAAAUAUGAUCCGUCUAUGAUCUUGAGUGUGGUGGUUUGAUGAGAUUUCAAUGACCUUUUAUCACCAGCAACACUAAUUCCGACAGUUCCUUUAUGUGUCAAUGGCCAAAUUCUAGUAGAUCAACAAAUUCUGAUUCUAGUGGUA
Molecule: unclassified non-coding RNA, 259 nt
Filed under: Hevea brasiliensis (rubber tree)
Lineage: Eukaryota; Viridiplantae; Streptophyta; Magnoliopsida; Malpighiales; Euphorbiaceae
Source: RNAcentral